UUCAAGGGACGGGUUGCGUCCGCGUGAAUGCUCCGGCAUCCACGUGGGGCGUGGGUCCUACGCAGCGGCCUGGAAACCCUAGGAUGCCGUGCCAUAAAGGAGCAGGUAGUGCGUCCCUCUUUAUAGGGGUGUGGCCCUGUAUUCACAGCCGGCAAACGCUGCUACUUCCUAUCAGACCGCAUGAACCCGUAAUGGGGGAUGGACUUAGGGGGGCACGCAUAUAGGUUAGGGUACUCUCCUGAUCCUUCGGGGUUGGGGGGGCGUACCGGACAGUCGGCAACUGUGCAUGGCCCUCCGGGGCCGGCCUUUUGCCCAGCAAUGGACCUGACGAUACUGAAAGCGUGUUUGGGGCUGGUAUCCUGGGACCUUCACGUGGUGGCCCUGUUUAAACUAAUCUUACCAGGAUGUGCUUCCAGAAGGGUUACAUCUAAAAACAAGGUACAAGGUAUAGAUGAGAAGCUUACUGGAGAGAAGUGGGAAAGUAGCGAUGAACCAACGACUUCAGGGGAAUCCGAUCGUCCAAUCCAAGUUAUUUUGUUAUUGCAGUUUAACCCCCCCCCUCCCCACUGGAGAUGAGAGGCUGUAGAGGAAUUUGUUGUGGUGACAAUGAAUCAUUCUAAUCAAAGUCAGUAUGGGCUCUUAGAAACACGCAGGAGACAAGAUCUGCCGCAGUCAUUGUUAGCAAGAACUACCAUUUUAAUAAGGUGGACCACACAGACAGCACGAUAGCCUUGCAGAGGAGAGCGUUUCUCACAAGUGGAUUUACAACUGACUGACCAAUCAACCUUCAUCGGAACUUUCUGAAGUAGUGGUGGUGGGAAAGCGGUGGUGGGAAAGCUAGGUUUUCAGGAGGUUGCUGACAGCCAGGUGAUGACCAGCAUCUUUCACCAGUAGUCUCCUGGUCUUCC
This is a long non-coding RNA of Patiria miniata (bat star), 908 nucleotides long. RefSeq lists it as uncharacterized. The record is from RefSeq and is a predicted model, not a curated record. Lineage: Eukaryota; Metazoa; Echinodermata; Asteroidea; Valvatida; Asterinidae. The transcript is spliced from 6 exons.